This is a long non-coding RNA of Falco peregrinus (peregrine falcon), 9168 nucleotides long. RefSeq lists it as uncharacterized. The record is from RefSeq and is a predicted model, not a curated record. The transcript has 2 exons. Lineage: Eukaryota; Metazoa; Chordata; Aves; Falconiformes; Falconidae.
GGGAGGUCGUGGGCGGUGUGAGGGGCGAGGGAGGAGGUGGCGGGGCGCGGGCGGCCGCCGGCGCCAUGUUGAGGAGGUUGCGCUGCCUCUUCCCCCGCUGGGAGGGGAGCGGGGGGGGAGGGGGCACGCCGCGGGGGUGUCGGCGCCAUCUUGGGGAGGUCGCCCCGAUUCUCCCCCUCAACGAGGCGGUGUGAAGGGGCUUCGGGCGGCGGGCGGUAGAGCUCUGAGGCGACGGCGGGCCGGGCAGGGGGUCCCAGCCUUGGCUGCACUGGACCUGGCACCUCAGCCAAGCAGACUGCGGUCCCAGGCGUGUUUUUCUGUGGAAAAAGCCGGUUUAAAAGCACCAUAGCCUGCUGCUGGGCCAUGGCUUCCCUGCCUUGCGCUCAGCCAUGUGCCACCCUGGCAGUUUUUGGGUAGGAGAAACCAUAUUGCUGAGCUAAUCUGGGUUUAAAAAAAAACCCAAAACUAAGAAAAGAGACACAGAUGAAAAUAACACGUCAGGAGGCCGGCAGGCUGUGCGAGAGGCCAUCUGUUUGUAGCUGUAAAUCUUUGCCUGCUCCCAGCGAGGGCCGCUGGCUUGAAGCAGCUGUGGCUCCUGUGCUGGAGCUCCUCCGAAACACAGCUUGGUGUCAUGCCAAGGGGAUGGGUGUCCCUGCUGCACGUAAGAAAACAGUGAUAAGACCAUUGGUGGCCUGACCGCCUGUUCUCUGCCCUGAACACCAACGUACUCCACAAGGCCUCUCGUUUCCGCUGCCAACGAGUGGGUAUCAAAUGGAACUCGGCUUUAGCCCCACUAACUAUCCUUCCUGGUAUGUGGAAGCUAGUAAUUUCUUGUAUUAUCAUACUAGGGCUCAGAGACGUCUGUUGGGAUUGUGGCCUUGUUCUGGGGGAAGGUGUUCACAUUUGAAGGCUGUUGCUGUCCCAAGGCAGCCAGGGUUUUCAGUAGAAACCUGCAAUAUAAAGGAUUUAAAACAGAGGGAAAAGGAGGUGAGGGGAAAUAUAAAUCUGUGCUUUGUAGGAGGGAGUCUUAAGAUGGGACUUGAUGUCUCAUCCACUGAAUCUGUCAAAUAUGUUUUCCCCACACCUGAAGAGUUACAUGGAAAAUACAAUGAGAACAGGUACCAGGAGAAGAGUUCACAGAAGCUGGUUAAGAGCAGCCUGGAAAGCAAAAUAUUUUCAGUAAUGCUUCAUUCAGGAUCUUACAUGUUUCUUAUGUGCUCUGUGCUAAAUAUGUGGCAGAUCAAAAAUUCAGUAGACUUUUACGUUAAUCAUAAUUUUAUUUUUGUUGGCGUAAAAGGUACACAAUUUGUUUCAUUUCAGGACAUCAGCCUGCCAUCUGUGCCUAGUAGAAACCUCGUCCAUGGGUAUGUCAUUGUACUAAAAAUGAUAAAAUUUUGGUCAUUAUACUAAUAUCAACUACUGGGAUUUUACAACUUCCCUUGGCGUGUAGUACCAGUCCCUGUAAAAGGGGAUGUGUCCUACAUGCCUGCCAACUCACAGCACUCUGCAAAUUUACUGAUACUCAGGCAAAACCAGAAAAUGCAGAAAUAACUUUCAUCUGAUAGGUGGAAUAAAACACAGCCACCAAUUUUUUCUAUUUACAAAUAGAAUAAAGCAAUAGUAGGUGACUUGUUAGGGUAGGAAGAGAUGACCGCACUAUACCCAUCUGAAGAUGCAAGCAUAUGGAAAGCACAGUAUGGAAAACAAAUGCUAACUGGUGUGCCUCCUUUGCAGAGCCAUCCAAGGCAAUUGGCAUGUGUAUCGGGUCAGCUCAGGAUUGACUGUCCACUCUGUAGAGUCACAUUCCAGUUGUCACUUGCGCAGUGCCCCUGCAUUUUUUUGGGAUCUUUGCUACAGCAUGCACACUCACAGCACAUUGUGGGGAAAAUAACACCUCUGCUUUUCACGGGAAUGUCACCUCAGACCCUGUAGACUCAAACGCGCUUUAAGUUUUGGAUGCUCUUGAUUUUUGUCAUUGGCCCCCCAUAGGUAUGAAGUGUGGAUCCAGGCCAAGUGGUGACUUAUGCCAGUUGCUGAGAUGAAUGUAUCUUCUGCUGCAGAGCUGUGAAGGUGUCCUGGCUGGGCUUGCCGCUCCUUGAAGAGAGGGGAGUGCCUUGCCAACGCAGGCAGACAUGUGGAGGCAGCUGAUGCGGACUGUAACAGCAGUGGAAUUCCCUUGUGCUAAUCAGCAGUUUUGGAGCUGGGCCACAAGCACUGAGACCUGAGGCUGUGCUAGUCGACAGGCCUGGUAUAACCCAUAGUGACCCAGAAUCUCCACAGGAGGAAGAUCACUUCCUGAUAUGUAACAGGAAAGUAGUUUUAGAUGAGCUACCAAGAAAAUUUCAUAAUGGUAGGAUCUGAUAAUACUGGAAGAGCUUUGGGACACUCUGGAGUCUCCCCCGUUGGAGGUUUUAAGAACAGGUUAGACAAAAUACCGCUCAGGAAUGCUGUAGGUAGAGUUGCUCCUGCCUCAGGGAGAGGGGUGGAUGACAUGGUCAUCUCAGAGUCCCAUCCUGGUACAUAUUUUCAAGGCCACAUGUUGCUAAUCAGUUUGGAAUGGGCAGAUCAAACCAUAGGCUCGUGAAAGUGCAUAUCUAUGAGCCAAUAGCUAUUGAGUGUGCUGGGACAGUGGCUGGCACACAUACUUACUUUUUUUCCACCCCUCUCAAAAUGCUCUUAGUUACAUGAAGAGAGGAGUGCACACAGGACCAAAGUCUCUUGGUAGGGAACAGCACCGACAUUCAUUUGGGAUGUGCCAAAAAGGUCCUCCAGAGAGGCAGCAUUUCCUAGUAUGAACAAACUAACACUUUCUCUUUGAAAAACUGAGCAUCAGCAUGUCUCUCCCCAGGUUCUCACGAGGAUGCAGACCAUGCUGUGUCAUUCACGCAUAAUCCUGCGUGAAAAGGGUUGGGAAAAGAAUCCUGGUGCCACAGAAGGGUCCAUGCACAAAUAAGAGUCAGAGUCUUGGCUCCAGUGAAGACUUUUCUUCUGUGGGAGUGUGGCUGUAUUACAACCAGAAGGUUUGCAGGUGUCAAAAAGUACUAUUAACUUUUGGGGACCACAAACAUCAGGUUUUCCUAAGGGGAUGAAACACAUGCCCUUGCUGGUGUAUUUAGCACCUCUCAUAGACCAGGUCAAUCCAACAUACUGCUCCUGUCAGCUAAGACAAUGUGGGCAGGGGGUGGGGGGGGGUGUGUGUGUAAGAUUUCUCCAAAAAGUGUUUCAGAGUCACAGGUGUAGCUGCAGGACUUCUGAACACACCAACUCUUGCAUAUUGUGUGAACAGAUACUGUAACAAACAAGAAUCUGUUACUUUCCUGGAUUUAUAUGGGAAGGCUGAUCUCUGGCAUGCUGGAGGUGAAGGACCUGCAGGUAGUUGUGCAGCAGAAGAUCCAUUCCUGGCAGCGGCAGCAAUGCUCUUCAGGGUCUGAUUGCCACCGAAUGUCCUAGCUGCCUCAGAGUUAAAACAUCUACUACUGCCUGUUGGCACUUGCAAGGCCGCCUGUGCUUGCAAGUGAUGGAAGAGGUGGAAUCCCAGCCGCUUGGCAUCUUGUAUCAGCAGGGGAAGAAAAGUGGAUGGGUCUGUUGUCUUUCAUACAGAGUUCUUAUUCUCAUCUUAAGCCCAUUGAAAAGUAACUGAUUAACCCACUGUGCUGUAAACAAAACACCCUGAUGAUUUAGCAGAACUAACUGAGCAGUUUUUGAACAUUCACAGUGGAGCCUGAAGGGGGGAAGAAUACAGACACAGCUGCUUGGCCUUUUUCUUUUCUCCCUCUUUUUCAGAUUAAAAAAAUUGCAUCCAUUGCUAUUCUUUAAUGCAAGUCUUCGCAACAGCGAUUGUUCAGUAAUGUGCAAUGAACCAGAUUUGCACGGCUCAUAAAGAGCCAGGCUGGGUUUCAUUACUCUAAGGAGGAUGUUGAUAGUGCAAUGAGUUUGUUGUAAGUAGCCUUGAUUAGGCUCUCUGGUUGCCACAGCUUCUCUGGAGCCCGAUUAGACCAAUGCUGAGUCUGAGUUUUGCAAGGAUUCCUGUGAUGAGAAGCUCUGUUAGUUUUUGUAGUCACCAAAAUCUACACAGGUGCAAUUGUUCUGGAGAGCUGCUACUGCUAAAAUAGUAGAUUCCUGCAGCAUAUCCCAGAGCCUGUCAGGGCUCUGCAAAUAUGGAUUUCUGGUCAUUCAUCUGAAUAUUACAUCUCUUCAAUUUAGAUCCUUAUACCUAGUUCACCUUUGUGUACACUCCUCAGGUAUUUUCAGCUUAUUUUCACUCCUUCUGUUCAAAUACUGUUUGGUCACGUUCAGCAUACACUGAUCUUGCCAUUUGUCUGCACAGUCUAUGACAAGCACCUAAAGUUGUCCAGUGUUAGGGCAACAUGGGACAGAGUAAAGAGGCUGAAGAUAAUAUGUGAUUAGCUUUGCCAGGUAUGAGAGAGAAGAGGCAUUUUCCCAUAUAAUUCCAGUUCUCCAGGCUUAUUAUUUAACAUAUUUGGUCUCUUUCCCAGAUUGCCAGUACCUCCGUGAAAAAGAGCUUUUUUCUCUAUUUCAGGCUCAGUGUCAUGAGAUCCACCUUAAGACCAGAAUUUCCAGCAUGGCUUCUGGGUUAUGCCAUAACUCUUAACUGGAGAGCUUGGGUAAUUCUUUGUCAUCGCCACCCAGAGCCAGCUCACACUCAUAAUUUCACCAGCAAAAAAACCUCUUAUAGAAAGGAAUUGGGCAGUCAACACUUAAUUUCAAGACUGAUUUUCUUGGACAGUAAUAAAUUUUGUUAGGGCUCUGCUGCCUAUUUUUAAGUACUGUUUGGCUACUCACCUGAACCAGCAGUGCUCCAAGGCAGCCUCAAAAGGUUUCCCUUGGGAGUAGGGAAAGAGGAUCUGUGUUAUGGGCUCUGGAGACCUCAGUUUUCUCGUCAGCAGGGAGAAAGAAUUCAUGGUUUGAAGAUCUAGAACAGGGGUCCUCAAACUUUUUUAACAGGGGGCCGGCGUGCGGAUGAAGUGGCAGGAAGUCAUCUGCGGCUGCUUGCUGCUUGGUUUCCGCCCCCCCCAACCCCCGGCGGAGUGGGGGGGAGUUCUGUAAAUACGGGGGGCCAGAUUGAGUACCCUGGGGGGCCGUAUCCAGUCUGCAGGCCGUAGUUUGAGGACCCCUGAUCUAGAACAUACCCCACAUUGGGACUGAGACCCCUGUUUUGGCGUAUGAUUAUACAACAAAAUGGAGUCUGAAUGUGCAGCAACACAAGCCAUACAUGACAUGUUUUAGGUAUAACAGCUUUACUUGUGGUUCCCCUUCUGCAGCAGCCAGUAACCAAAAGCGGUCUGGAUUUUGGGCUUGCCCCACAGCAGCCAGCUUCUUCACUGAUUCUGGUGAUUAAUCGUUUCUAUUCUGUCAGUGCCCAGAGUAUUUAGAAAUAAAAGACAGCAGUGUUGGAUGAGUGCCAUUCUCUCAUCUCUAUGAAACAGCAGUAAUAGUAACAACUACUGAGAGAGAAUGGCGUGUAAGAGCCCACUUAGGCUAUUAUGUAUAGCUUUUCAGUGCGCAUUGCAACGUUCCUUGCAGCUAAGCACCAAACUACAGUAGAUUUUACAGCAAAAACAGUUAAUGGGGAGACAAAAAUGAGAGUGUAAAAAAAGAAGAAAGGAGAUGGGAACUUGUUGGCAGGAAGGCUUUCCUCUCCCAUCCCCACGUUUUGCCUGAAGCUUAUUUUCAGACACACUGGUGAAGAUUUUUUUUUUAUUGGUUCUUAGGACAGGGGUAGCCUGACUCUAAUUUCCAUGCUGAGGCUUGCUGUUUACCAGCCCUGCACUGCUGCUGGAACACCUGAUAAUCCCAGUCCUCGAUUGUGGGACAGAGCUGGCAGGGGUGGCUGUGGCCAGCACUACUCCAGCAAACUUGGGAGCCCAACUUGGGAGCCAAACUUGGGUGACCCCUCCUUAGACCAGCUGCCGUCUUCCUAACGCAGUAGCAUACAGCACUUCCAAGUAACAUGCUGCUGCAAUGACUUCUGUACAGGGCUGCAAAUCUGCUUGUUGUGAGAUACUUCUUCAGGUCCAAACUGCUUUUCUUAGGGAAAAAAAUUCUCUAAGCAGUCACUGAAGACUGAUUACACCAAAUUGGAUAUUUAUGAUUUGCUUUUCUUCAUUACUCAAGGCAAUUGCGCCUAAACUGCGUAACAGGCAAGGUGAUUUUCCCCUGGCUGGGCUAGCCAUCUGAACACAAUUACACUUGGCUAUUAUUAGCGAGAGUGAGCGGGGCUGAGUUUACAACUGUGCAGGAGUGAUAAGCUCAAGACGACUGUGCUUCCUCUCCAAGGAACUGUCUAGCUCCGCUCCACUCCUCCGCAUCUGAGACACCACCAUGCUGAAGUCAGGAGGUAUUUUUGUUCUCUGAACAGGGGUGCCCAAAUGGCACAGGCCGAGUGGUUUUCUUUUAACAGCAGAUUAGACAGACACAAUAUCCUGCACAGUUUUACUCUCGUCAUCCAAGACACUAGUCACAGAGGUUUUAAAGUUUUCUGGUACCCCUUUUUAUGGCCUUUAGUCCAAAUACCUUAGGACCCCCAAGCCAUGAUGGCUAUGCUAGUUUUUCUGGACUCAUCACUUCGAAGAACUUACAUUUCUGUGUCCACACUAAAUUUGAAUUUGCAUUUUCAUUAAAAUCUUAAAUAUGACAGAGAGUGGGAUAGAUCUCCCUAGAUAUUCCUGUACCUAAACAAGACACCUGGGGCUGCUUUAAGCCUCUGCAUACAUUUAAUCAGAGGAAUCACAUCCUGAACUGCUCUUACUAUAUGAAUCUAGACAACUAGUCCAGGUAUUGUUGCAGACAUUAGAUUUAGGGGAGAUUAAUCCCAUGAGUCUCAGUUUUAUGACUCUCAUGUAGCAACAUGUGAGAAGAAAAACUACGUUGGAAGUAUUGUCACCUUCUGCUGACGAAACAGUAGCAUUGUGAAGCAUGGAGGAGAGCAACAAGAAUAACAGGUUUAAAAAGUGUAAUAUAGGAAUGAAAGGCUGAAAGUAGUGCACUUUCUUACUAUAAAGAGCUGAAAGGAAGAAGUUUAAGAGAAAGGAGGCAUAACAAUACUCACUUCAUGGAAGAUCAUUGUAAAGACAGUGAUGAACUGUGGGUUAUGACUGCUGGUGAGCUCAGGACUAGCACAGCUGUGCCACAUGUAGGCAUGGGAACAGUCCUGGAGUUACCCGAGAGCUGAACGAUCCUGGGAUAUUUCAAGAGACAGUGAGAAGCUCGCCAGAGACACCCCCAGGAGGUUGCCAGUCUGAAAUCUCACAAACUAUUAAAACUACUUUCAUCUCCUCUUCCAAGUAAGCUUGCAAUGCCAGGUUGUGAAGAACUUUUUAAGACCUGUCAAAGCAUUGCAACAGACCCUAACUGUGGUUCUAAGCAAGAAAAGCAAAGUAUCCACUGCUAGUGUAAGAGCUUGCAAUGUUUCCUCCUCUGCUCACUGCUUUCUGGUAAUGGCAACAGAAAUUAUGCAAGCCACAUGCAUAAGACGAUGGAAAAGGAUGAGGAAUCAAUAAAAACGUACUUCUCUAAGAAAACAGACCUAUUCCUUGGACAGUUCCAAAAGGGCAAGCUAUAAUUAUCAGGUACUCCCAAAAUAUUAUAUCUAUUUUCAGAAGGUUCCGGGCUUCCUGGAUAAAGUAUCUCAGAAGCCAAAACAACAGGUGACAGAAGGACUCUUUCUUUCAAGGACACCAUUUCAGGCCGUAUCAUUUGAGAUGAGCCAGACACCAUGGCAAGCUCAACAGUUACUACUGGAAUAAGACAAAGAGCCUCAUGUUUAGAAAGCUCUCCUGUGCUCCAGCAGAAGAUGCCUGUUUCAAUAGGUCUGAUUUAACUUCAGCUUUAAAUAAUAAAUAAAGCAUUACAUACCUUGAAGAACUGAAGCAGAAGGGGAAAUGACAAAAUGGAGAACACUAGAGAGGGAACUACUGUCAACAGUAUCAGAAGAAGCAGUGAUUUCAUAAGGGUUGGCAUUUUCUUCCUUUCAUUUCUUCAAGCAUUGGAUUGGUGCCAAUAAGCAGAUUGCAAGUCAUGUCAGAAGAUUUAAACCAACCAUAACUCCUUAUGAAGCUCUGUUACGAAGCAGCUGAUGUUGCAAGACAAUUCUUUUCCCAUAGAAAGGUCAGAUUAAGAAAACAAGGAACGUGACAUCAUUCCUCUACAUCACUUAUGAUCGAUCCAGCCUUCACUUCUGCUGUUUUAGGGGCUUGAUAAAUUCUGCUUACAACCCAAACUCUACAGACAUGAAAUAGAUACCCUUAACAGGCCCCACCCCUUCUCUGACAAAAAAAAAAUUCCAUCUUACACAUGCAGAGCAUUCCCACUGGCUCCUCCACAGCCAUCUCUAGUGAAGGAUACAUUAAAUCAAGUAUUGGAAACUCCCAGCAUCAUCAAAAGCAAAUGUCACAAAACAGAAAUUCUCUCUCUAUAUAUAUAAACAUAUUAUGGCUUCAAGGUCAGUCAACCUACAUAACAUUUUGAAUUGCUAUGAAAAUAAACCCAUAGAAGCUGUCACAGACAACAUUUUGUGUAAACAAGAGGGGACCCAGAUCAUUCCUGCUAUGCAAUGAGCAUAAAAGUGGUUGUAACUGUGUAUUCCACAAAGUGGAAUACGUUCUACGGUAGUACAUCCAUCAGAUCAGAUGAGGAUUGGGCAGCAGAUUUAUUCUACAAACAUGUUUUUCAGAUGAAGAGAGGUCAAAAAAGUCAUAGGUAGUAAAAUAACUUUUCCAGGAAUGAAAUAAUUAGGGAAUGAGCUGUUUGCUAUAAAUGUGGCAAAGAAACAUCAGACAUUUUGGUUCAGAAGUGGUCACGCCUCACAUGCCUUUUUCCCAUCUCCUUUUUAUCUGUAAGAGGAUCCCAGCAUGACUAGCUCAGGCAGAGCUCGAUAUGCCAUAGACAUGCAAAGCAAGGUGAGAUGACCCAUGUUUAAAGACUCUUUCAAAUGUGUUGACCAUUUAGCCACAGAGAAAACUAAAAAAAGAAAAACCAGCUGCAAUAAUUAUUGUAACUAAUUGCUUAACCAAUACAACUUCAAUUCGAAUGUCAGUUUUGUAGCUUCUGAUUUACCAUCUCAGUAUGCGUGGAGAACUCUUCUCCCAGGCUGGUUAUCUUUGUACUUCACAGAAGGGGCACUUCCUAUUAAAUGAUGUGGAAAAAGUA